Molecule: ribosomal RNA, 200 nt
Filed under: uncultured bacterium
Lineage: Bacteria
Description: partial 16S ribosomal RNA
Rfam family: Bacterial small subunit ribosomal RNA
Source: RNAcentral
UCCUACGGGAGGCAGCAGUAGGGAAUCUUCCGCAAUGGGCGAAAGCCUGACGGAGCAACGCCGCGUGAGUGAUGAAGGUCUUCGGAUCGUAAAACUCUGUUGUUAGGGAAGAACAAAUUUGUUAGUAACUGAACAAGUCUUGACGGUACCUAACCAGAAAGCCACGGCUAACUACGUGCCAGCAGCCGCGGUAAUAAUCA